Molecule: long non-coding RNA, 1549 nt
Organism: Frieseomelitta varia
Lineage: Eukaryota; Metazoa; Arthropoda; Insecta; Hymenoptera; Apidae
Exons: 2
Source: RefSeq, a predicted model, not a curated record
AGGAAAAACAGCGGAUGGAUGAGAAAGUAGGCACAACGGAUGUGGCUGGCGCCUGUACCGAGCUUUUGCUGCGACACCGAGCCUUCUAUUCGCGAUAUUUGUUAGUCGGGUAGUUGCCAACAGCGCGUUGCGAUCUUUUCUCUGCCACCACCACCACCACCACCAUCGCCACGGCCACCACCACCACCACCACCACCGUGUAACGAGCGAGACCCACCUCCUCCAUCGGCGCCAACUUCCACCGUCGUAUCCUCCACUGGGCGCUCGCUCGUGGACACGCGCGCGCGCGCGAGAGAGAGAGAGGAAGAGGGAGAGAGGAAAGUAAAACGGUGGCGGUAGGUAGUUCCUCAGACGAGUUCUCGUCGGCGUGGCGCAAAGGUGGAACGGAACGGAAAACUACUGGUGGCGAGUCGGGUGGUGGUCCUCGUGGUCGGGUGUGAGGCGCGCGUGCGAGCGAGGCCGAGAGCGAAAGGGAGCAGGCGCGAGAGCUGGCCCGAUCCGGACACAGGGACACGGGUGGUAGGUUCCUCGCGUUGCGAUUCGAGACGAGAGGCGAGCGAGAAGGAAAACAGGAAGGACGGACGGAAGGAAGGAAGGAAGGAAGGAAGGAAGGACGGAAGGAGGAAGGAGUAGCAGGAGAAGAAAGAGGAGAAGGAGGAGGAGAAGGAGUAACAGCAGCGGCGGCGCCGGCAGCAACAGCAGCAGCAGCAGCAGCAGCAGCAGCAGGGGUAGGGGAGCGAAAAGGAAGGAGCUUCGCGGAAAGAUCGGACUCAGUGUGUCAGUGUACCGAACGGUGCGUUCAGAUGAUAGGUGCCUCCCGGUGGAGGCGCUUCAGUCGGCCGGCCGCGAUCCGCUUGAUCGAGAUAUUCCGCGCUGCUGCGGCGACGGGACGCGUGUCACCGCCUUCGUUCGCGUCCUACCGUCUACUUUGCCCGUCUCGGUCCACUUUGCCACCGUCUACUCUUGGUGCUCGUCCCCGUGACCGAAGGCGUUGUCGUCCUUGACGAGACUCUCGGUCUCUCUCUCCGUUCGCCUGGCCCGUGGUUACGCGUCGAAAACGGAAAUCUCGAUGGCUCGUGCGCCGUGGCUGCCACUGUGCUCGGCCCGCCUCUCCACUCUCGUACCUUCGUUCGUCGUCUCCGUCUCCGUCUCCGUCUCCGUCGUCGUCGUCGUCGUCGUCGCCGUCCUCGCCGUCGUCGCCGUCGUCGUCGUCGUCGUAGCCGCCGCCGAUCGACACCAUCACCACCAACAGUGAUCGCGUGUGAACGAUGCGUCAGAGUAACGGAACGCACCGCGUCAGUUAACGCUUCCUGUGGCUGUGUGUUGUGCGCUGCUGCCGCUACUGACUGCGCUGCUGGUGCUGCCUCUUAGCGUCGCUGAUCAUUGGUGUUCGCGUCACGGUGAUCGUUUUUGGUAGUGCUCGUGUUGGUUCCUCGUGGUGGAUCGGUCUCGUGUCGGUGCCCGAUUGGUGUUGGUGCGACGGAGCAAACGAAACUGGACAGGGCGAGGGAGGGAGGGGGAGAGAGCGAAAGAACGAACGAAAGAAAGA